GCAAACUUGGUCAUUUAGAGGAAGUAAAAGUCGUAACAAGGUUUCCGUAGGUGAACCUGCGGAAGGAUCAUUACCGAACCGUCAAACACGGGCUGUCGCUGGCCUUCCGAGCGGGGGGCACGUGCACGCUCUGUUUACGCAUCCACUCACACCUGUGCACCCUCCGUAGUUCUGUGGUUCGGGAGACCCCGUCUCCCUUCCGUGGCUCUACGUUUUUACACACACGCCGUAGCCAAGUCUCAUGGAAUGUUUUUCUGCGUUUAACGCGACACAAUAUACAACUUUCAGCAACGGAUCUCUUGGCUCUCGCAUCGAUGAAGAACGCAGC
This 328-nucleotide unclassified non-coding RNA is filed under the name uncultured fungus. RNAcentral's name for it is "partial contains small subunit ribosomal RNA, internal transcribed spacer 1, and 5.8S ribosomal RNA". The stretch from base 1 to 73 matches the Rfam family "Eukaryotic small subunit ribosomal RNA", at positions 1759 to 1831 of the family's 1831-position model. Lineage: Eukaryota; Fungi. The record is from RNAcentral.